RNAcentral lists this ribosomal RNA (253 nucleotides) under uncultured bacterium. RNAcentral's name for it is "partial 16S ribosomal RNA". It matches the Rfam family "Bacterial small subunit ribosomal RNA", at positions 524 to 776 of the family's 1533-position model. The record is from RNAcentral.
UACGGAGGGUACGAGCGUUACCCGGAUUUACUGGGUUUAAAGGGUGCGUAGGUGGGCCUGUAAGUCAGUGGUGAAAUCUCCGAGCUUAACUCGGAAACUGCCAUUGAUACUAUAGGUCUUGAAUUAUCUGGAGGUAAGCGGAAUAUGUCAUGUAGCGGUGAAAUGCUUAGAUAUGACAUAGAACACCAAUUGCGAAGGCAGCUUACUACGGAUCGAUUGACACUGAGGCACGAAAGCGUGGGGAUCAAACAGG